This 626-nucleotide ribosomal RNA is filed under the name Planococcus sp. MBTU SOBOP1. Its description in RNAcentral is "bacterial SSU rRNA". It matches the Rfam family "Bacterial small subunit ribosomal RNA", at positions 80 to 692 of the family's 1533-position model. Lineage: Bacteria; Bacillati; Bacillota; Bacilli; Caryophanales; Caryophanaceae. The record is from RNAcentral.
UUGCUCCUUUGUUUAGCGGCGGACGGGUGAGUAACACGUGGGCAACCUGCCCUGCGGAUCGGGAUAACUCCGGGAAACCGGUGCUAAUACCGAAUAGUUUGCGGCCUCUCAUGAGGCUGUACGGAAAGACGGUUUCGGCUGUCACUGCAGGAUGGGCCCGCGGCGCAUUAGCUAGUUGGUGGGGUAACGGCCCACCAAGGCGACGAUGCGUAGCCGACCUGAGAGGGUGAUCGGCCACACUGGGACUGAGACACGGCCCAGACUCCUACGGGAGGCAGCAGUAGGGAAUCUUCCGCAAUGGACGAAAGUCUGACGGAGCAACGCCGCGUGAGUGAAGAAGGUUUUCGGAUCGUAAAACUCUGUUGUGAGGGAAGAACAAGUACCAAGUAACUACUGGUACCUUGACGGUACCUCACCAGAAAGCCACGGCUAACUACGUGCCAGCAGCCGCGGUAAUACGUAGGUGGCAAGCGUUGUCCGGAAUUAUUGGGCGUAAAGCGCGCGCAGGCGGUCCUUUAAGUCUGAUGUGAAAGCCCACGGCUCAACCGUGUAGGGUCAUUGGAAACUGGUGGGACUUGAGUGCAGAAGAGGAAAGUGGAAUUCCACGUGUAGCGGUGAAAUGCGUA